RNAcentral lists this ribosomal RNA (367 nucleotides) under uncultured bacterium. RNAcentral describes it as "partial 16S ribosomal RNA". It matches the Rfam family "Bacterial small subunit ribosomal RNA", at positions 338 to 722 of the family's 1533-position model. The record is from RNAcentral.
CCUACGGGGGGCAGCAGUAGGGAAUAUUGCUCAAUGGGGGAAACCCUGAUGCAGCGACGCCGCGUGGAGGAUGAAGGUUUUCGGAUUGUAAACUCCUUUUGUUAGAGAAGAAAAUGACGGUAUCUAACGAAUAAGCACCGGCUAACUCCGUGCCAGCAGCCGCGGUCAUACGGAGGGUGCAAGCGUUACUCGGAAUCACUGGGCGGAAAGAGAGCGUAGGCGGGAUAGCAAGUCAGAUGUGAAAUCCUAUGGCUUAACCAUAGAACUGCAUUGGAAACUGUUAAUCUAGAGUAAGGGAGAGGUAGGUGGAAUUCUUGGUGUAGGGGUAAAAUGCGUAGAUAUCAAGAGGAAUACUCAUGGCGAAGGC